AAAAAGACAAACCCUGGUUUCCGUGCCCAAUGUUUGACCGUCCGUCUUAUUUGAAAAAAAUAUAAAAAAAAUUAAAAAGACAAGUCACGCAUAAAAUAUUAAUCAUGUAUUAUCAUCUAACAACAAUGAAAAUACGAAUUAUAAAAAAAUUUCAUAUAAGACGGACAAUCAAAGUUGGACACGGAAACCCAGGGUUUGCCUUUUU
RNAcentral lists this microRNA precursor (205 nucleotides) under Oryza glumipatula. RNAcentral describes it as "MIR812 microRNA precursor family". It matches the Rfam family "MIR812 microRNA precursor family". Lineage: Eukaryota; Viridiplantae; Streptophyta; Magnoliopsida; Poales; Poaceae. The record is from Rfam by way of RNAcentral.